GACGAACGCUGGCGGCGUGCUUAACACAUGCAAGUCGAACGGAAAGGCCCUGCUUGCAGGGUACUCGAGUGGCGAACGGGUGAGUAACACGUGGGUGAUCUGCCCUGCACUUCGGGAUAAGCCUGGGAAACUGGGUCUAAUACCGGAUAGGAGCCAUUUUUAGUGUGAUGGUUGGAAAGUUUUUUCGGUGUAGGAUGAGCUCGCGGCCUAUCAGCUUGUUGGUGGGGUAAUGGCCUACCAAGGCGGCGACGGGGAGCCGGCCUGAGAGGGUGGACGGCCACAGUGGGACUGAGAUACGGCCCAGACUCCUACGGGAGGCAGAAGUGGGGAAUAUUGCACAAGGGGCGCAAGCCUGAUGCAGCGACGCCGCGGGGGGGAUGACGGCCUUCGGGUUGGAAACUCCUUUCGCUAGGGACGAAGCUUUUUGUGACGGUACCUAGAUAAGAAGCACCGGCUAACUACGUG
This 465-nucleotide ribosomal RNA is filed under the name uncultured bacterium. RNAcentral describes it as "partial 16S ribosomal RNA". It matches the Rfam family "Bacterial small subunit ribosomal RNA", at positions 28 to 507 of the family's 1533-position model. The record is from RNAcentral.